UACGGAGGGUGCGAGCGUUGUUCGGAAUCACUGGGCGUAAAGCGCGUGUAGGCGGCCCACUAAGUCUGAUGUGAAAGCCCGGGGCUCACCCCCGGAAGUGCAUUGGAAACUGGUGGACUCGAGUCCCGGAGAGGAGAGUGGAAUUCCUGGUGUAGCGGGGAAAUGCGUAGAUAUCAGGAGGAACACCGGUGGCGAAGGCGGCGCUCUGGACGGGGACUGACGCUGAGACGCGAAAGCGUGGGGAGCAAACAGG
Molecule: ribosomal RNA, 253 nt
Filed under: uncultured bacterium
Lineage: Bacteria
Description: partial 16S ribosomal RNA
Rfam family: Bacterial small subunit ribosomal RNA
Source: RNAcentral